AUAUUACUAAGGGGAGGAAAAGAAACUAACAAGGAUUCCCCCAGUAACGGCGAGUGAAGCGGGAAGAGCUCAAACUUGGAAUCCGUGAGCAUAACAGCUCACGGAGAUGUAGUCUGGAGACGCUCUCUCAGUGUAAGGCCGGUUAUAAGUCCCUUGGAAUGGGGCAUCAUAGAGGGUGAGAAUCCCGUUUAUGAGCUGGACCUUUGCACGUACGAGGAGCGUUCCGAGAGUCGCGUUGCUUGGGAGUGCAGCGCAAAUUGGGUGGUAAAGUUCAUCUAAAGCUAAAUACCGGCGAGAGACCGAUAGCGCACAAGUA
RNAcentral lists this ribosomal RNA (316 nucleotides) under uncultured eukaryote. RNAcentral's name for it is "partial large subunit ribosomal RNA". It matches the Rfam family "Eukaryotic large subunit ribosomal RNA", at positions 40 to 350 of the family's 3401-position model. The record is from RNAcentral.